AUUGAACGCUGGCGGCAGGCCUAACACAUGCAAGUCGAGCGGUAGCACAGAAAGCUUGCUCUCGGGUGACGAGCGGCGGACGGGUGAGUAAUGUCUGGGAAACUGCCUGAUGGAGGGGGAUAACUACUGGAAACGGUAGCUAAUACCGCAUAACGUCGCAAGACCAAAGUGGGGGACCUUCGGGCCUCAUGCCAUCAGAUGUGCCCAGAUGGGAUUAGCUAGUAGGUGGGGUAACGGCUCACCUAGGCGACGAUCCCUAGCUGGGCUGAGAGGAUGACCAGCCACACUGGAACUGAGGCACGGUCCGGACUCCUACGGGAGGCAGCAGUGGGGAAUAUUGCACAAUGGGCGCAAGCCUGAUGCAGCCAUGCCGCGUGUGUGAAGAAGGCCUUCGGGUUGUAAAGCACUUUCAGCGGGGAGGAAGGCGGUGAGGUUAAUAACCUCACCGAUUGACGUUACCCGCAGAAGAAGCACCGGCUAACUCCGUGCCAGCCGCCGCGGUAA
RNAcentral lists this ribosomal RNA (504 nucleotides) under uncultured bacterium. RNAcentral's name for it is "partial 16S ribosomal RNA". It matches the Rfam family "Bacterial small subunit ribosomal RNA", at positions 29 to 523 of the family's 1533-position model. The record is from RNAcentral.